Molecule: ribosomal RNA, 253 nt
Filed under: uncultured bacterium
Lineage: Bacteria
Description: partial 16S ribosomal RNA
Rfam family: Bacterial small subunit ribosomal RNA
Source: RNAcentral
UACGGAGGAGGCAAGCGUUGUCCGGAAUUACUGGGCGUAAAGCGCGUGUAGGUGGUGGGACAAGUCUGCUGUGAAAGCGCCUGGCUUAACCGGGCGAGGUCGGCGGAAACUGUCACACUUGAGGACGGUAGAGGGGGGUGGAAUUCCCGGUGUAGUGGUGAAAUGCGUAGAGAUCGGGAGGAACACCUGUGGCGAAGGCGGCCCCCUGGGCCGGGCCUGACACUGAGACGCGAAGGCGUGGGGAGCGAACGGG